AACGAACGCUGGCGGCAUGCCUAACACAUGCAAGUCGAACGAGACCUUCGGGUUUAGUGGCGCACGGGUGCGUAACGCGUGGGAACCUGCCCUUAGGUUCGGAAUAACUCCCCGAAAGGGGUGCUAAUACCGGAUAAUGUCUUCGGACCAAAGACUUAUUGCCUUUGGAUGGGCCCGCGUUGGAUUAGCUAGUUGGUAGGGUAAAAGCCUACCAAGGCGACGAUCCAUAGCUGGUCUGAGAGGAUGAUCAGCCACACUGGGACUGAGACACGGCCCAGACUCCUACGGGAGGCAGCAGUGGGGAAUAUUGGACGAUGGGCGAAAGCCUGAUCCAGCAAUGCCGCGUGAGUGAUGAAGGCCUUAGGGUUGUAAAGCUCUUUUACCCGGGAUGAUAAUGACAGUACCGGGAGAAUAAGCUCCGGCUAACUCCGUG
RNAcentral lists this ribosomal RNA (433 nucleotides) under uncultured bacterium. RNAcentral describes it as "partial 16S ribosomal RNA". It matches the Rfam family "Bacterial small subunit ribosomal RNA", at positions 29 to 507 of the family's 1533-position model. The record is from RNAcentral.